This 221-nucleotide unclassified non-coding RNA is filed under the name Hevea brasiliensis (rubber tree). Lineage: Eukaryota; Viridiplantae; Streptophyta; Magnoliopsida; Malpighiales; Euphorbiaceae. The record is from RNAcentral.
AAAGGAAGGCUUGGAAAGAAGAGGGUACAAAGAAGUUGGAUUUUUGAAUGAAGUGACUGAGGUGGUUAAAACAGGGGUGACGCCGGCUGAAAAGCUUUUGAAGUUGUACCAUGAGAAGUGGGGAUGCAGUGUUGAUCCAGUUUUCGAGGAAUUGUUGUAUUAGAGGUUCUGUGUGAUUGCCGAUGGAGCUAUAAAUUACUUAUUGAAUAAGUAUGUCUGAA